AUUGAUAUGACCGAGGUUAGGUAGUAAAUUGUAAAUUUAUAGACGAAUUGUAUUCUUUCAAU
Molecule: transfer RNA, 62 nt
Filed under: Dictyoptera aurora
Lineage: Eukaryota; Metazoa; Arthropoda; Insecta; Coleoptera; Lycidae
Description: tRNA-Tyr
Source: RNAcentral